This 469-nucleotide ribosomal RNA is filed under the name uncultured bacterium. RNAcentral's name for it is "bacterial SSU rRNA". It matches the Rfam family "Bacterial small subunit ribosomal RNA", at positions 366 to 826 of the family's 1533-position model. The record is from RNAcentral.
GCGCAAUGGGGGCAACCCUGACGCAGCAACGCCGCGUGAGUGAAGAAGGCCUUUGGGUCGUAAAGCUCUGUCAACAGGGAAGAAAUUAUAAUUGUUUAAUAGAUGAUUGUAUUGACGGUACCAGUGGAGGAAGCGCCGGCUAACUCCGUGCCAGCAGCCGCGGUAACACGGGGGGCGCAAGCGUUAUUCGGAAUUAUUGGGCGUAAAGGGCGCGCAGGCGGUCUUGUCCGUCAGGUGUGAAAGCUCGGGGCUCAACCCCGGAAGUGCACUUGAAACAGCAAGACUUGAAUACGGGAGAGGAAAGAGGAAUUCCUGGUGUAGAGGUGAAAUUCGUAGAUAUCAGGAGGAACACCGAUGGCGAAGGCAGCUUUCUGGACCGAUAUUGACGCNGAGGCGCGAAGGCGUGGGUAGCGAACGGGAUUAGAUACCCCGGUAGUCCACGCAGUAAACGUUGUACACUCGGUGUGGC